This 307-nucleotide unclassified non-coding RNA is filed under the name plant metagenome. RNAcentral's name for it is "partial contains 5.8S ribosomal RNA, internal transcribed spacer 2, and large subunit ribosomal RNA". The stretch from base 1 to 105 matches the Rfam family "5.8S ribosomal RNA", at positions 50 to 154 of the family's 154-position model. The record is from RNAcentral.
GAAAUGCGAUAAGUAAUGUGAAUUGCAGAAUUCAGUGAAUCAUCGAAUCUUUGAACGCACAUUGCGCCCGCCAGCACUCUGGCGGGCAUGCCUGUUCGAGCGUCAUUUCAACCCUCAGAACCCCUUGCGGGAUCUGGCGUUGGGGAUUGGCAUCCAGCCAGCCCCGAAAUCUAGUGGCGGUCCCUCCGCGACCUCCCCUGUGCAGUAGCGAUACCUCGCAGCGGGACAGCGGUCUGACCACGCCGUAAAACCCCCAACUUCUCAAGGUUGACCUCGAAUCAGGUAGGAAUACGUGCUGAACUUAAGC